AUAUAAUAAUAAGUAAAGUUGUAUGUUAUCUUUGUUAUUUUUUUUUUUUUUUUUGCCAUUUUGUUUUACACCCCUUUCCAAUGAAAUUACUAAAGAGCAGGAUCAGUUCCAACCAUGGGCUAUAUUCGCAUCCAUGGAGGGAGACCAGAUGGUGAAGAAUAAGGAUUGCCAGGCCAAAAAUUUUCUCCCUAGAUGCCAACUGGGACAUGGCCCUAGCCUAUAUUUUAUUGAUACAAUAUGGCCCUUUUUCCCAAAAAUUUGCCCACCCUUGCUAUAACCUCAUAAUUUCCAGAAAAUUCAUAAACUUAUGAAUCUGUGUGUCUUCUAACUCUUUGAUUUGAAA
This 343-nucleotide long non-coding RNA is filed under the name Androctonus crassicauda. Lineage: Eukaryota; Metazoa; Arthropoda; Arachnida; Scorpiones; Buthidae. The record is from RNAcentral.